CUCCUUGUUAGAUUAGUUUAAAAUAAUCUGCGGAGAAAGGAGUCCCUGGGAAGCCAGGCAGUGGCACUGAAGUGAUUAUUUCCACCACAGCAAAAGGCUGGAAACUGGUUACAAUUAUCACUCCUGGUUUUACAUGCUAACAGGAUUUGCCUUUGGGGGAUUAAGUUAACUAUUCUGUCACGCAGUGCCUGUGCUGGCUCACAUGUGACUCAGUAUUUGAUCAAUACUGCUGGUGGCUGUUGGUGCAGCAACUGAUGGGAAGCUGGAGGAGAAUUAUUCCGGUGAAAGCCUCGAGAAAAAUCAGUCAGAGAAGGCUGUGCCGCCAGAGUCCCAUCCCAUCACGCUCAGACAAAAUCCUCAGAAAUCCCACCUUAAAACCACACUGGAAACACCAGGGGAAAGUAUCAAGACAAGCAGUUCUUGGGAAUGUAUGGAAUUGACACAGAAGUCAUGGAGCAACUGAGCAGUGACAGGGCUGGAAAGGUAUGAGGGUUUGUGGUUCUUCAGGUAGGGAUGG
Molecule: long non-coding RNA, 517 nt
Filed under: Lonchura striata (white-rumped munia)
Lineage: Eukaryota; Metazoa; Chordata; Aves; Passeriformes; Estrildidae
Description: domestica (Bengalese finch) lncRNA (ENSLSDG00000017560.1)
Source: RNAcentral